Molecule: ribosomal RNA, 782 nt
Filed under: Craspedacusta kiatingi
Lineage: Eukaryota; Metazoa; Cnidaria; Hydrozoa; Limnomedusae; Olindiidae
Description: eukaryotic LSU rRNA
Rfam family: 5.8S ribosomal RNA (bases 283-436)
Source: RNAcentral
GUCGUAACAAGGUUUCCGUAGGUGAACCUGCGGAAGGAUCAUUACCGAAUAUAGACCGUCGUGAAAACCACUGUGAAUGGUAUCAGACCGUGUGGGGUGGCCAAUUGAAAGUCAGAGGUAGCCUUAAGUGCAGUCUCAGCGAUGAGCUGCGGCCCCGCACGAGUCGCCUGUACUUUGAGAUGGAGUUUUACGGACUGAUUGACUUUUGUUGAGGGCAAGCAAAGCGAAAGAUGGUAUUCACAUAGCGAGCGAGAACGAAAGAUGGUUCCAAAUAGUAUGAACAACUUCUAACGGUGGAUCUCUUGGCUCGUGCAUCGAUGACGAACGUAGCCAGUUGCGAUAAGUAAUGUGAAUUGCAGAAUUCAGUGAAUCAUCGAAUCUUUGAACGCAAAUUGCGCUCUCUGGAUCCCCAGGGAGCAUGUCUGUCUGAGUGUCGCGAACGAAAAAAACUCACACACUUCGGUGUGUUGAGAAGUGGGCGCUCGGGUAGGGGCUCAGGUCUCAGACCCGUCGUCCGAAGUGCGUAUAGACCGGAUCCGCAGUCUUAAACGAGAAAUCAGAAAGCGUGUGUUCCCGUCUGGAAGGCUCUGAAGUUGUGUGUGUUUUACUUGAACGGAGUUUUGUAACAGAAUUCGGUUAAAGCUGGGGCGGCAGCAUGUGACCUUCUCAGACACGUCGGGAAACAAUGUGCGGCUGGUUGAUAGACAUGUGUAUAAACGUGUGAGGCUUGUUGCGAGUUUUGACCUCAGAUCAGGCAAGACUACCCGCUGAACUUAAGCAUA